AUUGAACGCUAGCGGGAGGCCUUACACAUGCAAGUCGAACGAGUGGCGGACGGGUGAGUAAUGUAUGGGAAACUGCCUGGUGGCGGGGGAUAACUACUGGAAAGGGUAGCUAAUACCGCAUACUAUCAGAGGUGCCCAGAUGGGAUUAGCUUGUUGGUGGGGUAACGGCUCACCAAGGCGACGAUCCCUAGCUGGUUUGAGAGGAGGACCAGCCACACUGGAACGGAGACACUGUCCAGACUCCUACGGGAGGCAGCAGUGGGGAAGUUUGGACAAUGGGCGAAAGCCUGAUGCAGCCAUGCCGCGUGUAUGAAGAAGGCCUUCGGGUUGUAAAGUACUUUCAGCGGGGAGGCGUUACCCGCAGAAGAAGCACCGGCUAACUCCGUGCCAGCAGCCGCGGUAAUAC
Molecule: ribosomal RNA, 406 nt
Filed under: uncultured bacterium
Lineage: Bacteria
Description: partial 16S ribosomal RNA
Rfam family: Bacterial small subunit ribosomal RNA
Source: RNAcentral